GUUUCUACACCUCUGAUGAACUUUGGAUAUAUUAACAUUAGGGGUGUGUGAGACCGGCGGUUAUAGUUGAACACCGUCAUUAGAACUCUAUAACCGCCAAAACCGUGUCAUUAAAAUAUUUUUUACAAACAUUUUUUAUCAAAAAUUAUUUUCAUUUUUUAGAUAGGAUCAUAAGAUGCGCAAUAUAUCGGGAGACUUUUACCACUUAAUGAAGUUUUGCUUUGUAGAAAACCUUUCUUAAAAACGAAUUUCGUUUUGUACAAAUUUUAUCUUAAUUUUAAUAAAUGUUUCAUCAACCAAUUGCAUGUAUUUUAAUAAAUAAAAAGCAAAUAUAGCAGACAAUGAUAACCGUGACAUGGAAGCACCAGUGCGCCGCGUUCACUUGCACUGCACUGUGACCUAGAGCACAUCUCAUCGUAAAUGAAACUCAGCGUAGACCUAUGCAUCAUUAGCAUUAAAUAUCUUUGCUGCAUCCUUUCUAGAACAGACAAUGGCUUUUUUUGCGGCUCGCAUCAGCAAAGCAUUGCAUCGUCCAUAGACCGCAAAACAAUCAGCGGAUGGCGGGCGGGUGCGGCUUUGAAAUUUGCUCAAAAACGUUGGUGCAGAUGAUGAGUUUUGUGACCGAUCUCAACAACACCUCUAACUGAAAUAGGUUAUCUGAGGUUAUCUGAAAUUGCUGUAGCUUGACUUUAAUUAUCUAAAUUAAUCUCUGUCCGUGUUGUUUUUUUAGAUACAAAUGGAGUGUAGAACAGAAAUAAUGUGCACAAAAAACAUCAGAAACAUCAGACAGACAAACACCAACAGCACAGAGAGAGAAAUGGAAGACAGAAGUGAGACACAGACGCCUGGAUCACACGAGAGAAACAGACAGAAACCCUUGAGAUGUGAGAGUAUGGAGAAACUAAAACCAAGCUUCUCAUGUGAUCCAGACGGGCCUGUGAAGUUUCACUCAGAUGUUCUGAACACAAGAUCAGUGAUGUCCGGAUACCAGCAGCAGAAGACCAGAGCAUCAUCAUCAUCAUCAUCAUCUGGACUACAGUCUGUUGAGCUACUGGAUUCUCAGCUUUUACACACUCAUCUGAGCACAAGCAAACACACUACUAAACCGAUUCUUUCUCAGAUCUGUGUCUCAAUACUGCAGUGAUGUUUUCAGUAUAUAUUACUCAUGGAAACACUCUGGACAGACGGCUGGUCCUUCACACAGCACACAGUCACACAAACAAACAAUGACUUCAGAUCACUGGACAAACAUGUCUUUGUAUUGUGUGUCCCCUGGUGCCUUUACAUUUGACUAAAUCUGUAUUGGUUUGUAUGGCAGCAAUGUUGCACUGGUGUUCAUACACUACAAACAAUAACAGCAAUACAGUUUAUAAUACAGAUAUUAUCUAACAACAUGGAAACAUGUUCCUGUUACUCUAGAUCACACUAAAUAUUGAGAAAAUCAUCUUUAAAGUUGUUCAAACUAAGUUCUUAGCAAUGCAUAUUACUAAUUAAAAAUUUACAUUAAGUUUUGAUGUAUUUACAGUAGCAAAUGUACAAAAUAUCUUCAUUGAACAUGAUCUUUACUUAAUAUCCUAAUGAUUUUUGGCAUUAAAGAAAAAUUAAUAAUUUUAACCCAUACAAUGUGUUUUUGGCUACUGCUACAAAUAUCCCUGUGAUACCGAUGACUGCUUCUGUGCUGCAGGAUGAUUUAUGCUUUCUAUGAGUUUGACAUGAAAAACAAUUACACUGGAGAAGAAUUAUCACAGUUUUUGAAAUCAAAAUAGCUAGCACAAAAGUCUAAGCACUUUUAAACAAAGAAAACAAACAGCAUAACGUUACACAAAUGUUAUACUUCCAUCUACCCGAACGUCAGAAAGUAUAUUUAUACACCUAUGUAUUAACAUCUUAACAUGAAUAGAUACAUUGUAGAGCUCCCCCUGCUGGACACAUCAGGAACAUCAGCGCAGUGCAUUAUUGUCCAAGUACUCCUUUGUUUUUCUUUUUUCUUGCAGCUUUAAUUUUUAUGGAAUUA
This is a long non-coding RNA of Carassius auratus (goldfish), 2014 nucleotides long. Lineage: Eukaryota; Metazoa; Chordata; Actinopteri; Cypriniformes; Cyprinidae. The record is from Ensembl.